RNAcentral lists this ribosomal RNA (106 nucleotides) under Cavia porcellus (domestic guinea pig). Lineage: Eukaryota; Metazoa; Chordata; Mammalia; Rodentia; Caviidae. The record is from RNAcentral.
GUCUACGGCCAUACCACUCUGAACGCACCUGAUCUUGUCAGAUCUCAGAAGCUAAGCGGGGUUGGGCCUGGUUAGUACUUGGAUGGGAGAAAGCUCACUGGAUACG